GCAUAACGCGAAGAACCUUACCCACCUUUGACAUGUACGGAAUCCUUUAGAGAUAGAGGAGUGCUCGAAAGAGAGCCGUAACACAGGUGCUGCAUGGCUGUCGUCAGCUCGUGUCGUGAGAUGUUGGGUUAAGUCCCGCAACGAGCGCAACCCUUGCCAUUAGUUGCUACAUUUAGUUGAGCACUCUAAUGGGACUGCCGGUGACAAACCGGAGGAAGGUGGGGAUGACGUCAAGUCCUCAUGGCCCCUAUAGGUGGGGCUACACACGUCAUACAAUGGCUGGUACAAAGGGUUGCCAACCCGCGAGGGGGAGCUAAUCCCAUAAAGCCAGUCGUAGCCCGGAUCGCAGUCUGCAACUCGACUGCGUGAAGUCGGAAUCGCUAGUAAUCGUGGAUCAGAAUGUCACGGUGAAUACGUUCCCGGGUCUUGUACACACCG
Molecule: ribosomal RNA, 438 nt
Filed under: uncultured bacterium
Lineage: Bacteria
Description: bacterial SSU rRNA
Rfam family: Bacterial small subunit ribosomal RNA
Source: RNAcentral